UACGUAGGGUGCAAGCGUUAAUCGGAAUUACUGGGCGUAAAGCGUGCGCAGGCGGUUGUGCAAGACAGGUGUGAAAUCCCCGGGCUUAACCUGGGAACUGCACUUGUGACUGCACGGCUGGAGUACGGCAGAGGGGGAUGGAAUUCCGCGUGUAGCAGUGAAAUGCGUAGAUAUGCGGAGGAACACCGAUGGCGAAGGCAGUCCCCUGGGUUAACACUGACGCUCAGGCACGAAAGCGUGGGGAGCAAACAGG
This 253-nucleotide ribosomal RNA is filed under the name uncultured bacterium. RNAcentral describes it as "partial 16S ribosomal RNA". It matches the Rfam family "Bacterial small subunit ribosomal RNA", at positions 524 to 776 of the family's 1533-position model. The record is from RNAcentral.